CUCUUUUACAGACACCUUAAAUUCCACUCUUUUUCUUUCAGUGCUAUUGAACGACCUUGCCCGCUGUGGCAGUGGAAAGCGCGAUGUUCUUGGCCAUAUCAGUGGCAGGCAGGCAGUUGGCGAUAGUGCAACUUAUGUUUCCCGCUGUCCUCCAGCCAAUAAAUUGACUGACAUGCCCAUGGCCACGCCCGCUGCAUAGUGUCCUGCGUGGCGUAUACGCUAUGUGCUCUUUGCUCCGUGUCUGCAAUCCUGCGGGUCUCAUUUUCGGAGCUCGUUAGUUGCCACCAGAGGGAUAGGACAAUGUGCAACAGAACCCACAGAAAGCCACCAUCCAUGGGGUGGGCAAAGUGUUUGGGUUCGGAUCAACAUUUGCCUGCGCUCAUUUAAAAGUUAUGCGACAAUAUUUUGCGUGCAACUUUUACAGCGAUGUGGCGUGGCGAUAAUUAGCGGUUUUUAGUGUGCCACUAUGCUGGUCAGGGGCGAAUAUUGGUUAAUUAUGGACCAUGAAAAAUCUAUGAAAACCAUCGGGCUGGCGGUUUGGGGCUUUUGGCUUUUUAGUUCGAUCGCAUUCCAUAUUGUUGUGCUGUGCGCGCUAGCAGAUAAACUAUUUAUUUCAAUGAAAAAAUUUCCUGAUGCAAGGCAAAACAUUUUUAAUCACAUUGAAUGAAACUGGAUUAAUUAUGAAUCGAUAUUCUGGCCAAUGCCAUGGAUUAAGUUGGCUCAAAUUCCAGGUGUUUUCACCGAAAAUGUUGUGAUUAAAUUUAUAAUAGGCCAUAAUGAAAUGUUUGAAAUUUUCCAAUGCAACAUACAAUUAUAAUUUUGAGUAUUAGCAAAGAAGAAAUGUCCUCUGACGGACAAUUAAAAAUAGAUAGCAUGGCUAUGAGAUUCUAUGCAAAACAUUUUUAGACCAAAACAAAUUUCAUUUCAAUAAAUACGUUUAAUAAAAAUGAAUUUAAUUUUAUUGAUUGCUUGAAAUUAAGUUUCAGAAGAUAUAUUCACAAAACUAUAAAUUGGUUAUUUUCAACACUAAACACUAUGAACUUGGACACCAACUUAAAAGCUGAAAAUACUUUAUAUUUCCAGUCAACAAAAUCAACAAGAAAUGUGCAAAGGCGAAAUAAAAGGCGGAAGCAGAGCUUGCCGUUGCUAUGCUAAAUAAGCGCAUCAGCAGACGCUUAAAUAAGCUUAGUUAAAAGGCGGCUAGAGUGGGCGGGGCAGAGUGGAUGGCGGUA
This is a long non-coding RNA of Drosophila yakuba, 1232 nucleotides long. RefSeq lists it as uncharacterized. NCBI's taxonomy places the organism in Eukaryota, Metazoa, Arthropoda, Insecta, Diptera, Drosophilidae. The record is from RefSeq and is a predicted model, not a curated record. The transcript is spliced from 2 exons.